This 483-nucleotide ribosomal RNA is filed under the name uncultured Eubacteriales bacterium. RNAcentral describes it as "bacterial SSU rRNA". It matches the Rfam family "Bacterial small subunit ribosomal RNA", at positions 39 to 523 of the family's 1533-position model. The record is from RNAcentral. Lineage: Bacteria; Bacillati; Bacillota; Clostridia; Eubacteriales.
GCGGCGUGCUUAACACAUGCAAGUCGAACGGGAUUUAGUAGACAGAAGCCUCGGUGGAAGAUUACUAAUGAGAGUGGCGAACGGGUGAGUAACGCGUGAGCAACCUGCCUAUGACAGUGGGAUAGCCUCGGGAAACCGGGAUUAAUACCGCAUAAAAUCGUGGAAACACAUGUUUCAACGGUCAAAGAUUUAUCGGUCAUAGAUGGGCUCGCGUCUGAUUAGCUAGUUGGUGAGAUAACAGCCCACCAAGGCGACGAUCAGUAGCCGGUCUGAGAGGAUGAACGGCCACAUUGGAACUGAGACACGGUCCAAACUCCUACGGGAGGCAGCAGUGGGGAAUAUUGCACAAUGGGGGAAACCCCGAUGCAGCGACGCCGCGUGAACGAAGAAGGUAUUCGUAUCGUAAAGUUCUGUCCUAUGGGAAGAUAAUGACAGUACCAUAGAAGAAAGCUCCGGCUAAAUACGUGCCAGCCGCCGCGGUAA